GUGCCAGCAGCCGCGGUAAUACGGAGGGUGCAAGCGUUGUCCGGAAUCACUGGGCGUAAAGGGCGCGUAGGCGGCUCGGUAAGUAGGGGGUGAAAUCCUGCGGCUUAACCGCAGGGCUGCCUUCUAAACUGUCGAGCUUGAGCACGGUAGAGGCAGAUGGAAUUCCCGGUGUAGCGGUGGAAUGCGUAGAGAUCGGGAAGAACAUCAGUGGCGAAGGCGGUCUGCUGGGCCGUUGCUGACGCUGAGGCGCGACAGCGUGGGGAGCAAACAGGAUUAGAAACCCCCGUAGUCC
This 292-nucleotide ribosomal RNA is filed under the name uncultured bacterium. Its description in RNAcentral is "partial 16S ribosomal RNA". It matches the Rfam family "Bacterial small subunit ribosomal RNA", at positions 505 to 796 of the family's 1533-position model. The record is from RNAcentral.